GUAACGGCGAGUGAAGCGGGAAGAGCUCAUGUUGUGAAUCUGGCCCUCGGGCCCGAACUGUACACUGGAGAGGCGAGGCCAGCCGCUGUCCGCGGCCAAGUCUGAUUGGAAAUGAGCAUCAAGGAGGGUGACAAUCCCGUCCAUGCCGCGGUAUCGAUCAGCGCGCGUCCGGCCCGCUUUCGACGAGUCGAGUUGCUUGGGAUUGCAGCUCAAAGAGGGUGGUAAACUCCAUCCAAAGCUAAACACGGGGGGGAGACCGAUAGCGAACAAGUACCGUGAGGGAAAGAUGCAAAGAACUUUGAAAAGAGAGUUAAAGAGUGCCUGAAAUUGCUGGAAGGGAAGCGAAGGAAAGAAGUGUGCGGUUGCCCGGGCGCCAACCCCUACCUGUCGCAGGUGGGGGUAGGCCGCCCGGCCGCGGUCAGGGGUCGCGCCGGGCUCGGGGGAAGAGCCGUCGGGGAUCGGUAGGCGUCGCUUCGGCGGGGCGCUGUCAGGCCCCGGCGGCUGUUGCCCUGGGCCCGGCCCCCUUCUGGCGGUCGCGGCUUUUCUUCACCCCGUCUUGAAACACGGACCAAGGAGUCUAGCGUGGACGCGAGUAGAGGGGUGUGGAAACCCCCUUGCGCAAUGAAGGUGAACGCCGGUGGGAGGGCCAGCACCAUCGACCGAKCGUGCUCCUCCGGGGGCAAGGCUUGAGUGUGAGCGUGCAUGCUGGGACCCRAAAGAUGGUGAACUAUGCCUGAAUAGGGCGAAGCCAGGGGAAACUCUGGUGGAGGCUCGUARCGAUUCUGACGUGCAAAUCGAUCGUGAGAUUUGGGUAUAGGGGCGAAAGACUAAUCGA
Molecule: ribosomal RNA, 835 nt
Filed under: Dictyota stolonifera
Lineage: Eukaryota; Phaeophyceae; Dictyotales; Dictyotaceae
Description: eukaryotic LSU rRNA
Rfam family: Eukaryotic large subunit ribosomal RNA
Source: RNAcentral